GGCGGAGGAAGGGAAGGCCUGGCUGUCCAGCGGAAUCCGCCUGGACGCACGGACCUCGCGGACCCGACCGGAGCAGAGAAGACUCAAGUGCAAAGAGCUGAGGUGCUUACACGACCACCGCACAGGAACGAAGCGUCGGAGUGUGGAAUCGAGACCUGUUCUACUGCACUCCAGAGCACAUGUUCUUUCUACUCUGCCAUAAUGUUUGGGACAAAAUUGAAUCAUGAGGGUUUUUUUUUUUUCCAUUACAAAUGUAACACAUCGCUCCUGCGUACGGCUGGGAUGAGUCACUGGCACCAGACGUGCCCUCCUGCGAAAAACAGCUAUGAAACUGGACAAAAUACAGGAGGGCCACUGUUUUCAGGCGUUGAACAGUGGAAAGAGGACUGCGAUCCUUGAGAAGAGAUGAUGGUGAAGGUGAGCCCAUGUGUUGGCCCAGGUUCCUCACUGGGAGCCCUGUCCCUACC
This 467-nucleotide long non-coding RNA is filed under the name Pan troglodytes (chimpanzee). RNAcentral describes it as "long non-coding RNA NONPTRT008588". The record is from RNAcentral. Lineage: Eukaryota; Metazoa; Chordata; Mammalia; Primates; Hominidae.